Gastrolobium bilobum is the source of this 2172-nucleotide long non-coding RNA. RefSeq lists it as uncharacterized. The record is from RefSeq and is a predicted model, not a curated record. NCBI's taxonomy places the organism in Eukaryota, Viridiplantae, Streptophyta, Magnoliopsida, Fabales, Fabaceae. The transcript is spliced from 8 exons.
GAUUCUACUCGGUUUGUAGGAUUGUUGUGGCUAGGAUCGUACCAGAUCGCCGAGCUACAUUGUAAAAACGAUGGGAUCGUACUUUUUUUCCCAAACGAUAUGUGAAAAAAGAACCCACUUCUCUUCUCACUACAAGAAAUCCGCGAUAUAGAGGCGGUGUCCUAGUGGCUGUUUUAGAAACCGACCGUAAAUCUAGCAAUUAAGUACGCCCCUAAGAAAGUUUUUUUCACUCUCUCCUGAUGCUAAGUAUCCCACUUACAUAUCUCAUUUUUUUCCUUUUUUCUUGAAGCUAAGUCUAAAAAAACCUUGAGUUUCUCAUUGUUCAUUUCUCUCUAGUGUUUCCAUGCCAAAAGCCACCAUUAACACCAAUCCCAUCGAUAAAAGGUUCCUCUAUAUAUUCUCAAAUCCAUUUUGUGCUUUUAAUUUUUUUUCUUCUAGAUUUAGAUCUAAUUUACGCAAUCACGCGAUUUGAUUCGAUGUGGUUGUACCGAUUGAUCUCAAAUAAAGCUAGUUUAUUUCCAAUUUGUAACAAUGAUGAGUUUGCCCUUUCAUAUGUUCUUUCGCAAAUGCUCUCGGACGUAUCAAUGAUCAAAUUUUGAUCUAUUUUAUGACUUUGUUCUUCCCUUUCCUUUUCAUAAACCCUAGCCGCUUACAUGAAUUUCAACUUGGAGCUUCAUUAUGGUUUGAGAUUCUGUUUUUGAUCUGCUUUUGUUUCUCUUUAUUAGACUGUAAUUUUCGUUCAGUUUGUUAGAUCCACCUUUGAAGAAAUAUGGUUGUGGCAGAGGCCCAGUACAUGGUUGCUUUGAGUGUUAAGAGGGCCUAAAUGGGAACACUUACGGUGUGAAAUACAUCCUUUGGCUAUUGAUGAAAUUGCUCUUUAGAUUUUGUGGACCGAGUCAUUGAAGUCAUGUAUAUAUUCCUGACAAUGGCUUUAGGAACUGACGAUGUUGUUAAGAGUAAUGGUAUAGUCUUAGCAGGAAGGACACAAUCUUAUCUUUCAACAAGUGUGGAUUCCAGCUCUCACCAUAAUUGUACUCUCAGAGAUCAGGGAUGAUACUUUUGUUGCAGCUACAGUUUGGGGUUGUUUCUAAUUUACUGCAUGUUAGGGAGCCAAAGUCUUCUCUCAGUGCGAAUGAGCUUGUUCUCUCUCAGCCUAAUGACUUGGGGUACAACACCCCUUCCCCCAUCAAAACAGUCCUCGUCACGAGGUGUGAAGGCCCACAAUGUAAAUGGUCUAAAGCCUAAUAACAAUUCCUUGGUUCCAUGAAGCUGUCGGUGGGAAGGUUCUUGAGAGAAUUGGCUCUUGGGAGUUAUUGCAAGCUGGCAAACACUUUCUUGGUUGGAGAUAAGCAAAAAUCUCUAUUGGUAGGUAUGGAGACAAGAAUCUUAUUCUCUCCCUUGUGAUUGGCUACUGCAACGAUGGAGAUAAGGUCACUUGUGUUCCCAAUGUUGUGGCCUAAUGAUCCCAUUGUUCCACUUACCAUCGCAGGGAUGCUUCAAUUCAAGCCUAUCUUCCUUGGCAAGGUAAGGUUUGGUUUGCCAGCUGACAGAUUAUGGGUUAGUGUUUAUGAAGAUGAUAAUGAGGCUUUUUAGCUAUAGUCUGACGAGGUUGAUGUUCAGGUUGAUAGUAUAAAAAGGUUGGGUGAAGAGGACAACUUCUGGACCAGUGGAGUGACAGGUCUAUGUGGUCCUUGCUCAGAAAUUUAUUAUGAUUUUCAUCCUGAGGGGGGAUAUAUAGAUGCCAUAGGUAUGAAAUAGUACGAGAUUGACAAUAUUUUAUAUUCAUUUUUUACAUUUUGUGGGUUGGGUAGGGGGAUGAAAGCAAGAUCUUGGUGAUGAUACAAGGUUUAUAGAGUUCUACAAUCUAGUAUUGAUGCAAUACAACAAAAAAUAUUAUGGUUCUCUUGAACCUCUAAAGCAGAAGAACAUAGAUAGUGCGCUUGGAUUGGAGGGUAUGGCUUGCAUUCUUCAAAAGAUAGCCGAGCUAAAUCUUGUGACCAACCUUCUUCAUAUUAUACAAGUCAUAAGCAAUAGCAGAUUAUUUAGAUUUAAACAUUUGUAAUUUUAUUGUACUUUGAUUUUAUUUGUUUAAUUUGUAAAAGACAUAUUUACUUUGUUUUAUCAUAUAUUUGGAUCUAUUAUUUGUCAAUGCAAGAUAUUUUGAUUUUAUUU